CACGCGGAUCCCGCCCCGGAGCCCGGGCCCUCGCCCUGCGCGCCCCGCCGGCCGCCUGCGGCCCCUCCGGGCCCGCCAGUGGCCAGCUCGCCGCCGCGGCUCGGCAGGCCGCGCUGGGCCUGGGCGGGCCCCGGGCUCGUAGUCGAGGCCGCCGCGCGGGCCGGGCCCAUCCUUCCGCGGCCUGGGGCGGGACUCGGGCGGUGGAAAAACCUCCGCCCGGCGGCGUUUCCUGCGGUUCCCGAGGCGGGCGGGUUCCCGAGCCAGAACCCGCGACCCUCGGGAGGAUCGACCAGGGGGCAUUCGGUUUAUCAUUUUCCGCCUUUGGUUUGAUGUCGUCGGAAAGGAAAAUAAAUAAAUAAAAAACAAAGAAGGCAGGCGUGAAAUGGAAAAGGAGGCCAGGUAGAGAAGAUUAAGAUCUCUGCUCCUGCCGCCGACAGCUCCCCGCAGCAGGGCGCGAUUCCCCAGGGGUUCAGAGGCUGGUCCGUUUGUCGAAGCCCGUCCCCCUCGCCUCCGCUCUAAGACAGAAGCCAGAAUGGGACCAGGGACGGGCCCGCAGUUUGCAAAUCUGGAAAAGGCGACAUUAAACUGUGAUGAUGCCCUAAAAUGUCGAGCUGCGCCGAAGGCUGCAGGGCGUGUGCCUGCGUGUGUGUUUUAAAAGCUUGGAAAUGACGUUUAAAGAGAUUUAAUAACAUAGCUGGGGAGGAAUGUCCGGGAUGCUUGGAUUAUUUCAGGUAUGAUUUAUAAAUUGAGGCCCAAGGGAAAAGAGCUGCUUGUUUUACUCGCCCCUAUUUGUAGCCGGGUUUCUCCUGGAAAUUCAGACAUUCUGUUGGGCUUUUGGAGGUACUUAAUCUAUGGAAUUGUGGGAAUUGAGCCAGGUAGUAAGUAACUGAUGUUGAUUGGAAACGCAAAUAACUUGCUACGUUUUGUCAGGUUUCAAAUGCUCUCGGUAUCAUUUGCAUAUAGAUGUAAAUCGUGCUUUUAUGAAACUACCCUAUCAUAGAUGAUCUACAGAUAAAUAUUUUAGAAAUAAGAAAAACCAAUACGAUUAAAACAUCUAGAUUAACCCUGGUAUAUUCGUUACCGGUUUGUUUUGCUGUCAUCAGCCCUAUGUUGUAAUUUCCUCCCUCCACCAGCUGGACUCCAGAAGUGACUGCUAAAGAAUUUAGCUUCUUGGUUUCAUAAACACGCCCAAAUUGUGGCAAUGCAGUGUAGUCCUUAGAUCUGUCACAGCCUGGGGUCCGCCACAUGCUUUUCUCCAUGACCUUGGGCAAGACUCUGGGCUCUUUCCUGCUGUAAUAAAUACAAAUGACAGGUGUCACUUAAGUGCCAGUAAGGUGUUGCCAAACCACAUGUACCCUUUAGUGUGAUCUAAUUCAUUCUUUUCAUCCUGCCUUGGAAGGCAAACAAGCAAAAAGCUGUGGCUUUUCUUUGUACUGCCAUCUUCUUGAGCUCUUAGGUAAUGCUGACAUACUGCUAGAAUACAAAAUAUUUGAUGGAAUAUCAGAAUUAAUGUAUUCCUUGCUGUAGUAUGUCAGGCACAGGCCAUCUUUAUUUUAUUUUUAAGAUAGUUGUUUUGAAGAAACUAUCCUUCAAAAAAGGAGGAAAAAAGCAAUCUUUUUAGAAAAAUUGCAAGAUAAGAAAGCCAAAAAGAAAAGGAAAACCCCCAAAACUCCACAGCAAAAACCUAUCACUCAUAGAUAACAAAGUCAAUAUUUUGAUAUGUAUCUUUGUGGACUUACAGCUAUGUAAAUAUGCACAAGUAUAGAUCAUGUGUACAGAUAAAGAAAAGUAUACAUGUGUACAGAUUAGGAAAGCUAAUAUUGGUUGAGCUUGUACUAUUUGCCUAUUAUGGUACUAAGUGCUUUACACCCAUUAUUUCACUAAUCCUCACAACACUCUUAUGAGGCAAGGUUUGGUACUGUAUAGGUGACCAAAUCAAGACUCCAAGAGGCUCAGUAACUUGUCAAGGUCACAGCUUCUAAACAGUGAUUACUUAGGAUAAAUACACACCUACUUAAAACACAGGCUCAUGGUCCAAAUAUAGGCAUCUGCAUUAGCAGAUAAAACAUUUGAAUAUGUCUUUGCUUUUGCAGAGGCACAUCUUAGUACACACAUGUACAAUUCCAUAGGCCCCUGAUUAGAUUUGCACACACUUUGUGCAUAUAUGCACAAGUAUAUGUUUACAUAUCCCCGUGUGCCCAUGUGUAUCAUGUUCUCAGACACAUGUAUAGUCACAAAUUUGCAUAUAUGUGUGUCACUGCACAGGGAUAUACAGAGGCACACAAUAUAGCUAUAUAAUAAGAUGGACUCAGACUUGAAUGUUUGCAUGUAACUACAGGUGAACCAUAAUUUCAGUUGCCUAUUGUAGGUCACUAAGGACAUUCAUAAUUUUUUCAUUCACUGAAGUUUAUUUUACAUACAUCCUCAACUAUUUCUAGAUGUGGAAAUACUUGGUGAGAAAAUACAUAUUUAAAGGGCUUUUGAAUUAUAGAAUGUUGGUGAAUUUUCCAGGCAACUUGAUAAGAGUAUGAUACUCUGGUUCCAGUCACAAAAGGCCAUUCUGACUUCUAUUUCAGCUGGUUAAUCACAUUGAGCCGGUCAUCUAGAAAAGUAAAUAUAAUGGAAAGCUGUAUGAUUCAUUCAUAAAUGCAAACAGUUUUGCCUUUAUGGUCUUUUUAUUGGUGGUUGAGUAUGUGCACAACUUGAAUUUAGCAUCAUGACAGCUACACAGAAAGGCUGGGCUCAUAGGGUCCCUGGGCAUUAUUUUUUCUCCUUGCCUUUGCAUUUUGAAACUAAGAUUAUGUGUCCAAACAUUCAGAAGCACUAUUUUAGAAAGGCCUAGAUAGAAUCAGUGUUAGAGAAGUUACGUGUUACGUGUUUCUGUCUGUGGACAGUUAGUCCUGUUUAUCCAUCCCAUUCUCUCUUUACCUCCCUGGAAUAGAUAUUUACCUGUAUCGUGAAUUUUGCCAAAUGCUUCCUGAAGUGUUUUGAAAUGUUUGGAUCUCAUGUAAGUGGGCAGUGAUGACAUUGCCAUAGAGGCUUAAUAAUAGACGGCAGAGUGUUUAGUUUUAGACUUAUCUCGCUGCCUGCUAAAGGAGCUGUUCGCUUGUGAGUGUCAGUAACAAGUUUGUAUUGUAGUCUGAUGACAUUGUAGAGCAGCUUUGGCAAUGAUAACCUUUUUGGGUAAGUUCUCUCAGGACUAUGGAGAAAGAUUUUCAUAAAUCAGGGAAAGAAUUUUACAUUUGGCAGACCAAACCAUAUUUAUGUACAAGUGUUAGAUGUAAAAGUCAUGAUCCUGGAGGAAGGAGUGAAUAGUGCCCAUGUGAUUUUAUUUUUUUAGUUGGCAAAAGUCACUAUAUAUCAUGGAAUGACCAUAGAAUGUUAUGUCAUGAUUUUUAGGUUAUUUUGCUUUAUUUGUGGCCUUUAUUGCCAGUGAUCAAAGAAAACUUUUAUGAAAGUAUUGAAAUGGGUGUAAUGAUUUCUUUUUGAAAAGUUUUUAAAAAUUGUAAACUAAUGUAAAAUUUACCAUUUUAACCAUUUUUGAGUGUACAGUUGGUUCAAUGGCAGUGAAGGUAUUCACAUUGUUGGCAACCAUCACCACCAUCUGUUUCCAGGAUUUUUCAUCUUCUCCAGCUGAAACUCCAUAUUCAUUAAACAAUAACCCCCCUUUUCUCUCUUCCCCAACCCCUGAGAGCCACAAUUCUACUUUCUAUGAAUUUGCCUACUCUAAGUACCUCAUAUAAGUGGAAUCAUAGAGUAUUUGUCCUUUUGUGAGUGGUUUAUUUCACUUAGAAUAAUGUUCUCAGGGUUCAUCUGUGUUGUAGCAUGUCAGAAUUUCCUUCCUUUUUAAGGCUGAAUAAUAUUCCAUUGUAUGUAUAGUCCGUGUUUUGCUUAUCCACUCAUCUGUAAUGGACACUUGGGGUGCUUCCACGUUUUGACCACUGUUAAUGUGCUGCUGUGAACAUGCAUGUAUCUUUUGAGUUUCAACUUUAAAUUCUUUAUUUACCCAGAGGUGAAAUUGCUGGUUUAUAUGGUAGUGCUAUUUUUAAUUUUUUAAUUAAAAUACUGUUUUAAACUGGUGGUUAUCAGAGGAGAGGGAUGUUUGGGGGAUGGGUAAAUUAGGUGAAGGGGGUAAGGAAGUACAAACAUAUAAAUAAGUUAGUCACAGGGAUGAAAGUACAGCAUUAGAAAUACAGUCAAUAAAUAAUAUUGUAGUAUCUUUGCUGAUGGAAAGCAACUACACUUAACUGUGGGGAACAUUUAAUAAUGUAUGUAAUUAUCAAAUCACUAUGUUAUAUACACCUGAAACCAAUAUAAUACAGCGUAUCAACUAAAUUUCAAUUGGAAAAAAAAGCUCUUUUCCAUAGUGGCUGCACCAUUUUACAUUCCCACCAGCAAUGCAUAAGGGUUGCAGUUUAUCAUAUACUAAUCAACACUUGUUAUUUUCUGUUUGUUUUGAUAAAGCCAUCCUAAUGGAUAUGAAGUGAUACCUCAUGGUGGUGUUGAUUUGCAUUUCCCUAAUGAUUACUGACAUUGAGCAUCUUUUUUUAUGUGCUUAUUGGCCAUUUGUCUAUCUUUGGAGAAGUGUAUAUUCAAGUCCUUUGCCCAUUUUUGAAUUAUUCUUUUUUUUGUGUGGUUUAGUUACAGAAGUAGAGCAAUUUCUUAAUAAUGUUUAUUCACAUUUUCAACCUUUUUACUAUGAAAAUUUCAAACAUGGAAAAAGUAUAGUAUGAUAAACUUUAUGUACUCUUCACUCAACCUCAACAGUUAUCAACAGAUGGCUAAUCUGUUGCAGUUAAAGUCCCCACCAUUAUUUUGAAGCAAACCCUGAAACUUAUAAUUUCAUCCAUAAAUAUUUCUGUGUGUAACUAAAAGAUACGAUGUUUUAAGCAGGUACUAUCACAUGAGAAAUAUAAGAGCACUUCUGUAAUCUGUUAUGAAUAUGAAAACAGGAUUUCUCAGUGUCAGGCACUGCACAUCUGCAGGUGUCAUUUGUAUUGACUCAUUCCUGGUAAGCUUGUGUUGUAUACUUCGUGUUGCUUUGUAGCAGUAAUGGAUUCCUGUUGAUCCAUUCUUAUUUUUUUGCCUGGUUCUACUGGUGACUAUUUGUUAGGGAAGAUUUAGUUGGUUUAAUCGUUCUGUCUUUGCCCUGCAAACAUGGCAGAACUCCCUGGUUUGAGAAGAGACCAGGCCCAGUUGACCCUGUUCUAGGAAAAACUAGCAUCUACAUUUGAGGCCACCUGCUGGUUUACCUGCAUAUAACUUCAAAUUACUUUAUCCUGCACACCAAUUGUAUUUCAUUACUUUACAUUAAAUUACAAACUAAAUCUA
Molecule: long non-coding RNA, 5331 nt
Organism: Manis pentadactyla (Chinese pangolin)
Lineage: Eukaryota; Metazoa; Chordata; Mammalia; Pholidota; Manidae
Exons: 2
Source: RefSeq, a predicted model, not a curated record